Molecule: ribosomal RNA, 210 nt
Filed under: uncultured Lactobacillus sp.
Lineage: Bacteria; Bacillati; Bacillota; Bacilli; Lactobacillales; Lactobacillaceae
Description: partial 16S ribosomal RNA
Rfam family: Bacterial small subunit ribosomal RNA
Source: RNAcentral
GGAAACAGAUGCUAAUACCGGAUAAAAGCUACUUUCGCAUGAAAGAAGUUUAAAAGGCGGCGUAAGCUGUCGCUAAAGGAUGGACCUGCGAUGCAUUAGCUAGUUGGUAAGGUAACGGCUUACCAAGGCGAUGAUGCAUAGCCGAGUUGAGAGACUGAUCGGCCACAUUGGGACUGAGACACGGCCAAACUCCUACGGGAGGCAGCAGCC